RNAcentral lists this long non-coding RNA (1087 nucleotides) under Medicago truncatula (barrel medic). RNAcentral describes it as "long non-coding RNA (MTRU_LNC001799)". Lineage: Eukaryota; Viridiplantae; Streptophyta; Magnoliopsida; Fabales; Fabaceae. The record is from RNAcentral.
AUACAAUGUUAUACUAAAGAUGAUCAUAAAUACGAGUUUUUUUAAAAAAAAAAAGAGGCACCUUCACUUUUUGAAAAUCGAUGUUAUAUAGAGUCUCAUUUUUAUUUUCCUUUCUUUCUCUUCAAGUCUAAACUUUUUCCUCUCUCAAUCUCUCUCUCCCUUUCUCUCUACUUCUCCAUUUGAAAAAAAUUCUUGAGUCUUUGAAGCUAUGAAGCACAGACACUCUUUGGUAAGGCGUGUCCCCGUGUCAGACACGUGUCAUGUUCGACACCGACAAAUAUAAUUAUACUGAAUUACGUGAUUUUCUAAAAAAAUAAAAUAGUUGUGUCUGCGUGUCAGUGUUCAUGUCUAUAUCAGUGCUUCAUAGUUUGAAGGAAAACAUCCAUUUUCAUGUGAUGACAUGCUAAAGGGGGACUUAAAUGAAUAAGGGUUUAAAACAUAAAAGUGAAUCAUGCUAAGCUUAAGGUAACAAAACUAUGCCAUCUCUCUUUUUAAAAUAUGGCCGUAGCCUAUGGUGGAGUUUUGGGCGAGUUAGUUUACAAAACAAUCAUGCUUAGUCAAUCUAUUUGUUGAUUGUGUCUUCGUCGUUGAUUAUUUUAAAUGGUAUGUUUAUGUGUUUUUAUUACAAAAGUUAUGUAAUAUUAACUCAUCGAAAAAUGUUAAUAUGUAUUUGGCCUGUGUUGUUAAGACUUGAAACUGCUAGAUUUAUCAAUUUGCUAAAGGUUGAAAAUGAAAAAGAAUGCAUGGCUCUAAGUUCUAAAGAAGUUGAGGCAUGCUUGUGGUAUAUAAGGUUUCAAGUUUGAAUUUAUUCUUGUGAUGUAAAUAUUGCAUUUGAAAUGAGAAGUUUAAAUUAAAAAGAGGUUUGACAUUAUGAUCAAAGUACGUAGGAAAUGAAAUAGAGUUGGAAACUUGAUUUUGUGAGUUUUUUUUUUUUAUUUUAUUUUUUUAUUUUUUUUUUGUGUGUGUAUACACCACCUUAAUCGUAAAUCCUAACUAAGUUUGUAGGAAGCAGAUCCUCUUCUGCCUCUCUCUCAUGCUUUUUGUCCUGCUCUUGAUCUGAAUCAUCCAUCAAUUAACUUGUGUUGUU